AUUGAACGCUGGCGGCAGGCCUAACACAUGCAAGUCGAACGGUAACAGGAAGAAGCUUGCUUCUUUGCUGACGAGUGGCGGACGGGUGAGUAAUGUCUGGGAAACUGCCUGAUGGAGGGGGAUAACUACUGGAAACGGUAGCUAAUACCGCAUAACGUCGCAAGACCAAAGAGGGGGACCUUCGGGCCUCUUGCCAUCGGAUGUGCCCAGAUGGGAUUAGCUAGUAGGUGGGGUAACGGCUCACCUAGGCGACGAUCCCUAGCUGGUCUGAGAGGAUGACCAGCCACCCUGGAACUGAGACACGGUCCAGACUCCUACGGGAGGCAGCAGUGGGGAAUAUUGCACAAAGGGCGCAAGCCUGAUGCAGCCAUGCCGCGUGUAUGAAGAAGGCCUUCGGGUUGUAAAGUACUUUCAGCGGGGAGGAAGGGAGUAAAGUUAAUACCUUUGCUCAUUGACGUUACCCGCAGAAGAAGCACCGGCUAACUCCGUG
Molecule: ribosomal RNA, 490 nt
Filed under: uncultured bacterium
Lineage: Bacteria
Description: partial 16S ribosomal RNA
Rfam family: Bacterial small subunit ribosomal RNA
Source: RNAcentral